CACGUACUGUGCGAACGUUAUUCGGAAUCACUGGGCUUAAAGGGUACGUAGGCGGUUAAUCAAGUCAGGUGUGAAAUGCCUGAGCUCAACUGAGGCACUGCGCUUGAAACUGAUUAGCUAGAGUAUUCCAGGGGUGUGCGGAACUUAUGGUGGAGCGGUGAAAUGCGUUGAUAUCAUGAGGAACACCGGAGGCGAAGGCGGCACACUGGGGAAUUACUGACGCUGAGGUACGAAAGCUAGGGUAGCGAACGGG
This 253-nucleotide ribosomal RNA is filed under the name uncultured bacterium. RNAcentral describes it as "partial 16S ribosomal RNA". It matches the Rfam family "Bacterial small subunit ribosomal RNA", at positions 524 to 776 of the family's 1533-position model. The record is from RNAcentral.